Molecule: long non-coding RNA, 2583 nt
Organism: Corvus moneduloides (New Caledonian crow)
Lineage: Eukaryota; Metazoa; Chordata; Aves; Passeriformes; Corvidae
Source: Ensembl
GGAGGUCCUGUUCGGGCCGUCGAGUGGCACAGCUGAGAAUUCUGAUCGUAAUCUAAAACGGAAAUAGCUGCCAUUUAGGAGACGUAACCGUUUCCAUUAUUGUAUUUUACCUACCCGUAAAAUGCAAAUUUAUCGCUAAUUUCAAUAGAUGUUUCGUCAGAGACUAUGAGGAAUGGACUGAUUAAUAAAUAUACCCUAGAGAUAAAUUUUCCCUUCAAAUAAGGUUAUCAGCGUUAAAAUUGUAGAAGUGCUUUCCAGACGUGAAAAAUUAGCCGUGAUUGAAUCUGAAGGAAAUCAGAUGUGCGAGAGUGAUCGAAACGUGCUAAGCUAGAGGAUCUUGCAAGAGUUUAAACGCCGUCGCGGAGGAGAUGAGAUCGAUAGAGGAGAGGAAGGAAGGAAAUGGAUGUUAUCUGUCCGAGGGCGCUCCCGCAGCCUCCUCGCCCGCCCGCCCAUCUCCGACGGCACCUUCCGCCGCCCCGCUCCGCGCUCCCUCCGCCCGCGGCCGGCCGCCGGGCCACACACGCCACCGCCACCGGUGCGACGGCCCCGGCGAGGCCCGCGGGAGCAGAGCCAGCCGCCGCGCGUUCCCGCAGAAGAGACCCUGACCCCUUGCUCCGCACCGCUCCGCAUCCCUCCAUGCCGCACAGCGGGGUGCGCGCAGCCUGCUCGCCCUACGGCGGAUGGACAGAUCGGCCGGAUUGUUUUUAUUUCUAGAGGAAUGACCCUUGUUGAUUUUUUUACUCCUCGCUAGAUUUCUGUAGGUUGCUAUGUGGCAUGUUGUUUUCAUUUCUUGACUUUUUGAAAUAACUGUUUGGAUUUAAAUUUAUCGAACAACCUGUUAUCCAUAUGUCUGUCCGAUUAAUUUUUUUAUGGGAUGAUGAAAGAGAGAAGGAUCUAUAUAUAUAAUGAUCUGCUAAUGGAAUAAUAUAUAUAUCCAAAACACCUUUCUGGGGUUACUUUUAUUUCCGGACUUUAAAAUGCAGUCUGGGUUUUUAGGCAAUUGGGUGAGGUGAAUUGAUGUAGAAGAGUCACAUAUUUAGACUUCAGGGAAAAAAAAAUAUAUUGUUUUACACCAGAAAGAUAUUUUCCUGUCCUCCCUUAGAAAAUCUUGAAUGACAUUUACAGGAAGGUCAUGGCCAUGUUUUGCCAUUCACAGUGUGAUUUCUGCAGAUCUUUUCGAACAUUGAACCCGGGUGCAUCCAGAGAGUAAAAUAUCCACAGCGCCCUUUUCACUUCAAAGACACGGUUUUCUGUAACUAGCCAGCAGGGAUCCAUAGGAACAGUCACUAAGGAAAACAUAUUUCUAUCAUUAGCCUCUUCUUCCCUCCGCCCCCCAAGUGAGUCUAAUCGCUUCACCCUAAGGAGACGUGGUGUGUAAAAAUGAUAGCAAGGAGCUCACCGCGUCUAGUCAGUCAAACAUUAUCAACUGCAGAAAAAUUAUAGGCGCCGGUGAGAGAGUCGUCUGUGAAUCCUGUUUUUGUGCAUCUCAAGUGCACCUUCUCCCCCGUUUCUCUCCCUUGCCCUUGCUUGCGGCUGAGUGUGUGUCGGGGGCGAAUUAGCACUUCCAAUUUUGCUAUAAUGGGCUGAACAGCAAGCUUAGAGCGACUAGCCCAGAGAUACAGGUGACCCUCGAAAGAGGCUUGAGAGAAGGUUAAGCGUGGCUUAGAUAGAAAAGAGGAAAGUCCCCAGAGCCCUCACGUCCCACUCCGCCGGGGAUCCUCCGGCCGGACUGCUUUCCCCGCUGCCAGGUGGGCUGCAGCCCGACGGAAGAGGUGGCACUAGGGACCCGGUAGGAGCGGUCGUCCGGAGCGGCGGCGGGGCUCUGCAUCGGUUUCCGAUGAGAGCAGCUCGGCCCCUGCUUCCACUUUUGUAUAUCAUCUUCCUCGGGCGCAAAACGAGCGCGGCUCACAGCGUGCAGCGCAGGCGGUCCCGGCUCAUCCCACGCCGGGCUCAGGCUCGCGGUGCCCCGGCGGCCGUGGGCAACCCCCUGGUAUUCGUCCCGGGGCCUGUCCCGAACGCGCCGCCUCGUGCGCCCGCCCGACGGGCUUUAGCUUUGCGGCCGAGCCGGAACGAGAGGGAGAGGGGUCGGUUUCCCAACACUUGAGACUCCCCGGGCUCAAACUACGUAACUCGACUGGCGGGUCCCAAAACAAGCGGACGACGAGGCCGCUCUGGACCCAGCCUCCAGGACCAGAGAGCAUGCAGCAUCCCGUUCGGUGCUUCUAGCUCAGGAGCCGAGAAAAGGGAACAGGGCCGGGGAAGAGAGGAGAAGCCCCGAGCUCCCAUCGCGCACAGAGCCCUUUGUCGCCUGCAGUGACCCAGCUUUAGCCUGAACCGCGGGGAGCCUCGUUGCGGCUAUCGCCGGUCGCGCCGAAGCCAAGCCCAACCUGCCAGGAGCGUGGCCACGGCAGCCCUCAAACAGCCGCCGCGAGUGGGAUUAGGGGAGGGCUCAUCGAUACGGCGUGGCACGUUUUGUUGCCGCUUCAGCACCGCGGGACGACCGCGCACCGAGGAGGCAAACGGGUCGGGGCCAGCCCACCGUAGCCGCCGAUGGGGCGCGCGGUCCGCCGGCAGGCGCGCGUC